GAUGAACGCUGGCGGCGUGCCUAAUACAUGCAAGUCGAGCGAACAGACGAGGAGCUUGCUCCUCUGACGUUAGCGGCGGACGGGUGAGUAACACGUGGAUAACCUACCUAUAAGACUGGGAUAACUUCGGGAAACCGGAGCUAAUACCGGAUAAUAUAUUGAACCGCAUGGUUCAAUAGUGAAAGACGGUUUUGCUGUCACUUAUAGAUGGAUCCGCGCCGCAUUAGCUAGUUGGUAAGGUAACGGCUUACCAAGGCAACGAUGCGUAGCCGACCUGAGAGGGUGAUCGGCCACACUGGAACUGAGAGACGGUCCAGACUCCUACGGGAGGCAGCAGUAGGGAAUCUUCCGCAAUGGGCGAAAGCUUGACGGAGCAACGCCGCGUGAGUGAUGAAGGUCUUCGGAUCGUAAAACUCUGUUAUUAGGGAAGAACAAAUGUGUAAGUAACUAUGCACGUCUUGACGGUACCUAAUCAGAAAGCCACGGCUAACUACGUG
This 497-nucleotide ribosomal RNA is filed under the name uncultured bacterium. RNAcentral describes it as "partial 16S ribosomal RNA". It matches the Rfam family "Bacterial small subunit ribosomal RNA", at positions 28 to 507 of the family's 1533-position model. The record is from RNAcentral.